Molecule: non-coding RNA, 46 nt
Filed under: Schistosoma margrebowiei
Lineage: Eukaryota; Metazoa; Platyhelminthes; Trematoda; Strigeidida; Schistosomatidae
Source: RNAcentral
GGACUGCAGAGGUGUCCCACAAUAGUACGAAACGGCCGUCCAGUAC